UUUAGGUAAGCGAUUAAAUUGCAAUUAGUUACGGCCUAAUUCUAGUACCUAAAAGGUACACCUAAAGGCA
This 70-nucleotide transfer RNA is filed under the name Falcolipeurus suturalis. RNAcentral describes it as "tRNA-Arg". The record is from RNAcentral. Lineage: Eukaryota; Metazoa; Arthropoda; Insecta; Psocodea; Philopteridae.